UCUCCGUUGGUGAACCAGCGGAGGGAUCAUUACCGAGUUCUAACAAACUCCCAAACCCCUGUGAACAUACCUAUCGUUGCUUCGGCGGGACCGCCCCGGGCGCCUUUCGAGGUGCCCCGGAACCAGGCGCCCGCCGGGGACACCAAACUCUUGAUUGUUAUAGUGGCAUUCUCUGAGUAAAUUAUACAAAUAAAUCAAAACUUUCAACAACGGAUCUCUUGGCUCUG
This 227-nucleotide unclassified non-coding RNA is filed under the name root metagenome. Its description in RNAcentral is "partial contains small subunit ribosomal RNA, internal transcribed spacer 1, and 5.8S ribosomal RNA". The record is from RNAcentral.